GCAACGACAGCUCUCAUUCAUUUCUAAUUGAACUACGAUCCGAGACGGUUGACAUCUGGGUGGCCGAAAUUCUGCAUGAUGAUGUGUGAAGAAAACACACAUCUGCAGAAAAUAUAAUCUGCCAACAACUAUUGCAUCCAUCCAUUGGUGCUUUUUGCUAUUGAGCAAAAUAAUUAACACAGCUCGUUCCGCUUGAUAAGCUUGAUAAAAGCUUAUAAAAAUUCGUCUAAGCCGUCAUUAGUCAUACAAAAAUAAUACGAAUAGACGGAUAGAAUCCUAACUCUUGUAGUGGAUUUUGAUUCCACGAAUCCGUCAUAUUUUGGCCAGCGGAGGCAGACUAUUUCGUGUCGUGGACUGGCAUCUCUGAGUCUGUUGCCUGCAGAACAAGAACCAUGAAGGCGACACCAUUGGAUUGCAGUGCAUCUCUGGCCUAAGCACUUUUGUACCACUGUGCCGAGCCACGCCCAUCUUUCCGCCGUCUCCUCUUCAUCGCAGCAGCCUCAUCUUCUCCAGUGUGUACCAGUGUAGUGUCUAAAAAACUGUCUAAAAUACAUUAUGACCACAAAAAAAAAUAAUAAGUUAACAAUAAAAGGUCAUACAAUCGUUGUGUAGUGUACAGGCGCAACAGUGAAGUAGUAAAAGCCAAAAAAAAAAACAAUUUAGGAAAAACAUUUUUUUUAAAUAAAAUUUAAAGAUAAAUAUAAAAUAAUUUUAGUGGACGUAUAUUUAUAAGAAGAUACUUGAAAAUAUCAAAUUGUGAUUUGGCACUUAUUUUUUUUUGCGCUAUCAUUUUUUUUCUUUGCUUUCUUAAAGGGUAUGUCCAACUGGAAACAUUAUUGCUAAUAAAUAAUUAAAUAAAUAGUGAAAUAAAUA
Molecule: long non-coding RNA, 873 nt
Organism: Drosophila sulfurigaster albostrigata
Lineage: Eukaryota; Metazoa; Arthropoda; Insecta; Diptera; Drosophilidae
Exons: 2
Source: RefSeq, a predicted model, not a curated record